This 70-nucleotide transfer RNA is filed under the name Bacteriophage sp. RNAcentral's name for it is "tRNA-Met". It matches the Rfam family "tRNA". Rfam says of the family: Transfer RNA (tRNA) molecules are approximately 80 nucleotides in length. Their secondary structure includes four short double-helical elements and three loops (D, anti-codon, and T loops). The record is from RNAcentral.
ACUCUUAGCUUAGGGGUAGAGCAGUCGGCUCAUAACCGAAUUUGCCCUCGUUCGAAUCGAGGUGGGACUA